CCUACGGGUGGCUGCAGUGGGGAAUAUUGGACAAUGGGGGCAACCCUGAUCCAGCCACGCCGCGUGUGUGAAGAAGGCCCUCGGGUUGUAAAGCACUUUCAGUGAGGAAGAACGCCUGGUGGUUAAUACCCAUCAGGAAAGACAUCACUCACAGAAGAAGCACCGGCUAACUCCGUGCCAGCAGCCGCGGUAAUACGGAGGGUGCGAGCGUUAAUCGGAAUUACUGGGCGUAAAGCGCGCGUAGGUGGCUUGAUAAGCCGGUUGUGAAAGCCCCGGGCUCAACCUGGGAACGGCAUCCGGAACUGUCAAGCUAGAGUGCAGGAGAGGAAGGUAGAAUUCCCGGUGUAGCGGUGAAAUGCGUAGAGAUCGGGAGGAAUACCAGUGGCGAAGGCGGCCUUCUGGACUGACACUGACACUGAGGUGCGAAAGCGUGGGUAGCAAACAGGAUUAGAUACCCCUGUAGUC
RNAcentral lists this ribosomal RNA (465 nucleotides) under Vreelandella stevensii. Its description in RNAcentral is "partial 16S ribosomal RNA". It matches the Rfam family "Bacterial small subunit ribosomal RNA", at positions 338 to 795 of the family's 1533-position model. Lineage: Bacteria; Pseudomonadati; Pseudomonadota; Gammaproteobacteria; Oceanospirillales; Halomonadaceae. The record is from RNAcentral.